GACGAACGCUGGCGGCGUGCUUAACACAUGCAAGUCGAACGGAAAGGCCCUGCUUUUGUGGGGUGCUCGAGUGGCGAACGGGUGAGUAACACGUGAGUAACCUGCCCUUGACUUUGGGAUAACUUCAGGAAACUGGGGCUAAUACCGGAUAGGAGCUCCUGCUGCAUGGUGGGGGUUGGAAAGUUUCGGCGGUUGGGGAUGGACUCGCGGCUUAUCAGCUUGUUGGUGGGGUAGUGGCUUACCAAGGCUUUGACGGGUAGCCGGCCUGAGAGGGUGACCGGCCACAUUGGGACUGAGAUACGGCCCAGACUCCUACGGGAGGCAGCAGUGGGGAAUAUUGCACAAUGGGCGGAAGCCUGAUGAGGAAACGCCGCGUGCGGGAUGACGGCCUUCGGGUUGUAAACCGCUUUCGCCUGUGACGAAGCGUGAGUGACGGUAAUGGGUAAAGAAGCACCGGCUAACUACGUG
Molecule: ribosomal RNA, 468 nt
Filed under: uncultured bacterium
Lineage: Bacteria
Description: partial 16S ribosomal RNA
Rfam family: Bacterial small subunit ribosomal RNA
Source: RNAcentral